Molecule: long non-coding RNA, 1008 nt
Filed under: Calidris pygmaea (Spoon-billed sandpiper)
Lineage: Eukaryota; Metazoa; Chordata; Aves; Charadriiformes; Scolopacidae
Description: lncRNA (ENSCPGG00000000026.1)
Source: RNAcentral
CUGGGCUGUGCACACAUUGCACAUUCAGGGCUCACACUCAUGCAUGGUGCACCCAUUGCACACUCAGAACUCAUGCUUGUGUGUCGGUGAGGCCAUGUACCUGUCACACACUCAGAGCUCACACUCGUGCACAGUGCACCAGUUGCACACUCAGGGCUCACACUUGUGCAUUGGUGAGGCUGUGUACCUGUUACACACUCAGAGCUCAAACUCGUGUGUGGUGUAUGCAUUGCACACUCAGGGCUCACACUUGUGUGUUGGUGAUGCCAUGUACCCAUUGCACACUCAGAGCUCACACUCAUGCACGGUGCACCCAACCCAAGGGUGCUCAGGGCUCACACUUACACGUUGGGCUCCUGUCGCACACUUGGGGCUCACAUGAGCACAGUGCGCCCAUUGCACACUCAGGGUUCACACUUACAUGCUGUGCACCUAUUGCACAUUUGGGGCCCACACUCAAGCAUGGUGCACCCAUUGCACACACAGGGCUCACAUGUACAUGCUGUGCACCCCUUGCACAUUUGGGGCUCACACUCGAGCACGGUGCACCCAUUGCACACACAGGGCUCACACUUACAUCCUGUGCACCCCUCACACAUCCAGGGCUCCCACUCGAGCACGGUGCACCCAUUGCACUCUCAGGGCUCACACAUGCUGUGCACCCCUUGCACACUCGGGGCUCACACUUGAGCACGGUGCGCCCAUUGCACACUCAGGGCUCACACUCGAGCACGGUGCACCCGCCGCUCGCGCCCGCCCUCGCGCAACCACCCCCCCCCCCCCCCCCCCCCCCCCCCCCCCCCCCCCCCCCCCCCCCCCCCCCCCCCCCCCCCCCCCCCCCCCCCCCCCCCCCCCCCCCCCCCCCCCCCCCCCCCCCCCCCCCCCUCUUCCCCGUGCACACGCGCCCUCCCUCGCGCGCCCGCCCUCGCGCCCUCCCGCCCGCGGUCACGCGACCCGAGGGGGCGGGGCCUCGCGCCACGCGGCCCCCGUCGCCGCGGCAACGGCGUG